CCGUACUGAUGUGUUACUGAGUUGAUGACAACAGCACUUCCGCGACCGCGCAGCGGUCGAACGAAAGUUUGCGCCUUGAAAGAUUCAUCAACGUUAUCUGGAACAUUUCGAAUAUCAUGAAAUGCUAAUGAGAUGCACGAGCCACCUGAUUCCUCAUAUUUCGAGACUUUAAAUAACACGUGUGCGACGACGAACGACAUGACUUGAAGGAAGAUAACCAACAUUUAAUCGCGACGAGUUAAAAAUCAAGCGUAUGGUAAUCGAUUCAAAAGUAGUCGCACACAUAUUCGACGUUUUGACUCGAUAUAUACUUUCGAAGCAGGACCGCGAUUCCGGUAGACGGACAACGGAGUCCUGUCGGUGAGAUCAAACGGGGCAACGAGGCGUCCGGAGCCAUUCCUGCGCCUCCCUCCAAACGCACCGGUGGUUUCGCACAGCAGCGCGACGCGACGCGACGCGACACGACGCGACGCGUUGCGGUCAGUCUUCGUCGAUCGUGUUGCUUGGUGUGUUUGUUUGUCGUGUUCGAGGAACACUUUGGUGAACAUCCGCAAGCCCGCGGGGACUGUGAGAGUGCGUGCGAGAACUGCGAGCAACGAGCGGAAACAUCCUCUCGGACUGUGCGAGUACUCGCGGCGCUCCCGUGUGUAUUACGUACAUGCUACAAUGUCUUUGGGAUCCUUCAACGAACGAUGACACGCCCGCAACGACGACAGUCGCGGACAGCCGAGCCGUUGUCGUGAGCGGAUGCUCGCGAAGACUGCUCCUCGAGGACGGCGCAUCAAUUCCCAGCGAGAACGAGGACGAGGACGACUACGACGACGAGGACGAGGACGACGACGACGACGACGACGACGACGACGACGGUGGUGGUCGUGGUGGUGAAGUAACACAGCCGAGUCGAACCACUCGUCGAUGGUACUGCUGUUGCGAUACGAGCACUGCUCCGCGGAUACGUCACAUUCGUGCGCCCGAUGUCGCAUAGAGGCUACCGCGGGAGCUAUAACUGCGAGGUUCAAUGUGACCUUGUAAAAACAAAAUAGACAGAUGACAACCUUCUCAAGAAAAAGGUAUGGCAAGCUUGAUGGUGAACGCCUCUAGUAAGAACAGCUCGCGCAGUGGGUCUCCUAGUAGAGCAACUUCAAUAUCCCAGCUACACCAGCAGCAAUCAACAGGAAGCUUGGAUCACACUCCACGAUUGCGUAAUGUUCCAAUUUCUCAAGCAGGAGAGGGUAGCACAGGCAGUGGAAGUAGUGGUGGUGGUGGUGGUGGUACUGGUACUGGAAGUGGUCUCAGUAUGAAGAACAGCAGUAGACAAAGAUCACCAGGAACUGUAAUUCGCAUGGGAGAUGCUAUGGAUGAACCAAGUAGUAAUCCAAACACUGCCGAACCAGAUGAGUUUGUGCCAAAUAUUCAUCCACCAACUGAUGAUGAAGGAGAACAAUAUCACACAACUCCAUCGUUCCUAUCGAAUGGCUCUUCUGAAUUGAUCGCCGACGAUGUUGAUUCUAGUGCAACGCGUGUUCGUCAAGCUAUUGAACAUAUUCAAAGUAAAAUUGCUAAGACGCGGGAGCUAAUAAGAAUAGAACAAACUACGCGGGAUGAAAAUGUCAAUGAAUAUUUGAAAUUAGCUGCUAACGCAGACAAACAGCAAUUAACAAGAAUUAAAACAGUAUUUGAGAAAAAGAAUCAAAAAUCAGCUCAUAGUAUCGCACAGCUGCAAAAAAAAUUAGACAGUUACACAAAAAAAUUGAAAAAUUAUGAGAUGAAUGGAGCACCCACCAGUCAUAGGCAACCAAGGGAAAUGUUACGGGACAUGGGACAAGGACUUAAACUUUUCAGAAACGUGGGAGGAAACAUCAGGGAUGGCAUCACUGGUUUUUCAGGGAGUGUGAUGUCUAAACCAAGAGAGUUUGCUCACCUUAUUAAAAACAAAUUUGGAAGUGCUGAUAAUAUAAAUACUUUAUCGCUUGAGAGUAAUGGCUCGACUUUUUAUGUAAACGAUACACCGCGUGCAGGUAAUGGUGAUAACACUAGCGUUGAAGAUGAUAAAACUCAUCACGGAUCGGCUACACUUCCUGGCGGGUGCAGUUUAGGGUCUACUCAUAGCGCAGCUGCUAUGAAGUUCCCAUCUGAGGAAGGAUCAGAGUGUUCUAGUGUGACCAGCGAAAGUGGUCCCGGCAGUAGAGGACAGCCGCACACAUGUCAUAGUAAUAACGCAGCCUUGAGCCUCAAAUCUAUUUUCUCAGAACUGCAAGAACAUCGGGAAAACCUCGACCGAAUGAGGGAAAAAUUAGAUACCGUAAAGGCGUUACAACAGGAGGUGACAUAUCUUUCUCAUUCUCUCCAAGAAGAACGUUUCAGGUGCGAACGUUUGGAAGAACAAAUUAACGAUUUGACGGAACUCCACCAGAACGAAGUGGAGAACUUGAAACAAACCAUUACAGAUAUGGAGGAAAAGGUGCAAUAUCAAAGCGAGGAUAGAUUGCGAGACAUACACGAGAUGUUGGAGAGCUGUCAAACUAAGAUCUGUAAGAUGGAACAUCAGCAGCAGCAGCAUCAGCAAUACGUAACCUUGGAAGGCUUGGAUAACAGCAAUGCCAGAGCAUUGGUUGUAAAAUUAAUAAAUGUAGUAUUAACAGUGUUGCAAGUUAUUUUACUCCUCGUUGCGACAGGUGCUGGUAUUAUGAUGCCUUUCCUCAGAACUAGCUGUACUAAGCCUCAUUGUUUCAUGUGCAGGGUGCGUAUAUUAACAACCACGUUUGUUGUGUUGGGCAUAGUAUUUGUGCUCAAGCAGUGGCCUGAGGUGCACGACGUUGGUAGUCAUCUCAUACGCCACCUUAAGCAGACCCUCGCCAUGAAGUAGCAUUGGUGGAAUACUUAAAUUUAAUCAAACCCUGUGAUGAAGCUGGGCUAUUGGAUAGAUUGAGAUUGAAACUUCGCAUCCGUUUAUCAGUGUUGUAGGAUUGGAGCAAUAAUAAGUUGUGUGCAAGAGGCGAAGUGAGAGGGUGUGAUGCACGCCAGAAUACUGUCUUCAGCUUUUACAACUGAAGAACUGUCCAAUCAUAAUUUGUCGGUG
RNAcentral lists this unclassified non-coding RNA (3079 nucleotides) under Harpegnathos saltator (Jerdon's jumping ant). RNAcentral describes it as "transmembrane and coiled-coil domains protein 2, transcript variant X9". Lineage: Eukaryota; Metazoa; Arthropoda; Insecta; Hymenoptera; Formicidae. The record is from RNAcentral.